GCCAUCAUGGCCUAGUGGUUUGAGUGUUGGACUAUGAAUCUGGAGACCAGGGUUCAAUUCUCAGCUCAGCCA
Molecule: transfer RNA, 72 nt
Filed under: Phrynosoma platyrhinos (Desert horned lizard)
Lineage: Eukaryota; Metazoa; Chordata; Lepidosauria; Squamata; Phrynosomatidae
Description: tRNA-OTHER
Source: RNAcentral